GGGUUGUGAGGUUAAGCGACUAAGCGUACACGGUGGAUGCCCUGGCAGUCAGAGGCGAUGAAGGACGUGCUAAUCUGCGAUAAGCGUCGGUAAGGUGAUAUGAACCGUUAUAACCGGCGAUUUCCGAAUGGGGAAACCCAGUGUGAUUCGUCACACUAUCAUUAACUGAAUCCAUAGGUUAAUGAGGCGAACCGGGGGAACUGAAACAUCUAAGUACCCCGAGGAAAAGAAAUCAACCGAGAUUCCCCCAGUAGCGGCGAGCGAACGGGGAGCAGCCCAGAGCCUGAAUCAGUGUGUGUGUUAGUGGAAGCGUCUGGAAAGGCGUGCGAUACAGGGUGACAGCCCCGUACACAAAAAUGCACAUACUGUGAGCUCGAUGAGUAGGGCGGGACACGUGGUAUCCUGUCUGAAUAUGGGGGGACCAUCCUCCAAGGCUAAAUACUCCUGACUGACCGAUAGUGAACCAGUACCGUGAGGGAAAGGCGAAAAGAACCCCGGCGAGGGGAGUGAAAAAGAACCUGAAACCGUGUACGUACAAGCAGUGGGAGCACAGAGCAAUCUGUGUGACUGCGUACCUUUUGUAUAAUGGGUCAGCGACUUAUAUUCUGUAGCAAGGUUAACCGAAUAGGGGAGCCGAAGGGAAACCGAGUCUUAACUGGGCGUUAAGUUGCAGGGUAUAGACCCGAAACCCGGUGAUCUAGCCAUGGGCAGGUUGAAGGUUGGGUAACACUAACUGGAGGACCGAACCGACUAAUGUUGAAAAAUUAGCGGAUGACUUGUGGCUGGGGGUGAAAGGCCAAUCAAACCGGGAGAUAGCUGGUUCUCCCCGAAAGCUAUUUAGGUAGCGCCUCGUGAAUUCAUCUCCGGGGGUAGAGCACUGUUUCGGCAAGGGGGUCAUCCCGACUUACCAACCCGAUGCAAACUGCGAAUACCGGAGAAUGUUAUCACGGGAGACACACGGCGGGUGCUAACGUCCGUCGUGAAGAGGGAAACAACCCAGACCGCCAGCUAAGGUCCCAAAGUCAUGGUUAAGUGGGAAACGAUGUGGGAAGGCCCAGACAGCCAGGAUGUUGGCUUAGAAGCAGCCAUCAUUUAAAGAAAGCGUAAUAGCUCACUGGUCGAGUCGGCCUGCGCGGAAGAUGUAACGGGGCUAAACCAUGCACCGAAGCUGCGGCAGCGACGCUUAUGCGUUGUUGGGUAGGGGAGCGUUCUGUAAGCCUGCGAAGGUGUGCUGUGAGGCAUGCUGGAGGUAUCAGAAGUGCGAAUGCUGACAUAAGUAACGAUAAAGCGGGUGAAAAGCCCGCUCGCCGGAAGACCAAGGGUUCCUGUCCAACGUUAAUCGGGGCAGGGUGAGUCGACCCCUAAGGCGAGGCCGAAAGGCGUAGUCGAUGGGAAACAGGUUAAUAUUCCUGUACUUGGUGUUACUGCGAAGGGGGGACGGAGAAGGCUAUGUUGGCCGGGCGACGGUUGUCCCGGUUUAAGCGUGUAGGCUGGUUUUCCAGGCAAAUCCGGAAAAUCAAGGCUGAGGCGUGAUGACGAGGCACUACGGUGCUGAAGCAACAAAUGCCCUGCUUCCAGGAAAAGCCUCUAAGCAUCAGGUAACAUCAAAUCGUACCCCAAACCGACACAGGUGGUCAGGUAGAGAAUACCAAGGCGCUUGAGAGAACUCGGGUGAAGGAACUAGGCAAAAUGGUGCCGUAACUUCGGGAGAAGGCACGCUGAUAUGUAGGUGAAGUCCCUCGCGGAUGGAGCUGAAAUCAGUCGAAGAUACCAGCUGGCUGCAACUGUUUAUUAAAAACACAGCACUGUGCAAACACGAAAGUGGACGUAUACGGUGUGACGCCUGCCCGGUGCCGGAAGGUUAAUUGAUGGGGUUAGCGCAAGCGAAGCUCUUGAUCGAAGCCCCGGUAAACGGCGGCCGUAACUAUAACGGUCCUAAGGUAGCGAAAUUCCUUGUCGGGUAAGUUCCGACCUGCACGAAUGGCGUAAUGAUGGCCAGGCUGUCUCCACCCGAGACUCAGUGAAAUUGAACUCGCUGUGAAGAUGCAGUGUACCCGCGGCAAGACGGAAAGACCCCGUGAACCUUUACUAUAGCUUGACACUGAACAUUGAGCCUUGAUGUGUAGGAUAGGUGGGAGGCUUUGAAGUGUGGACGCCAGUCUGCAUGGAGCCGACCUUGAAAUACCACCCUUUAAUGUUUGAUGUUCUAACGUUGACCCGUAAUCCGGGUUGCGGACAGUGUCUGGUGGGUAGUUUGACUGGGGCGGUCUCCUCCUAAAGAGUAACGGAGGAGCACGAAGGUUGGCUAAUCCUGGUCGGACAUCAGGAGGUUAGUGCAAUGGCAUAAGCCAGCUUGACUGCGAGCGUGACGGCGCGAGCAGGUGCGAAAGCAGGUCAUAGUGAUCCGGUGGUUCUGAAUGGAAGGGCCAUCGCUCAACGGAUAAAAGGUACUCCGGGGAUAACAGGCUGAUACCGCCCAAGAGUUCAUAUCGACGGCGGUGUUUGGCACCUCGAUGUCGGCUCAUCACAUCCUGGGGCUGAAGUAGGUCCCAAGGGUAUGGCUGUUCGCCAUUUAAAGUGGUACGCGAGCUGGGUUUAGAACGUCGUGAGACAGUUCGGUCCCUAUCUGCCGUGGGCGCUGGAGAACUGAGGGGGGCUGCUCCUAGUACGAGAGGACCGGAGUGGACGCAUCACUGGUGUUCGGGUUGUCAUGCCAAUGGCACUGCCCGGUAGCUAAAUGCGGAAGAGAUAAGUGCUGAAAGCAUCUAAGCACGAAACUUGCCCCGAGAUGAGUUCUCCCUGACUCCUUGAGAGUCCUGAAGGAACGUUGAAGACGACGACGUUGAUAGGCCGGGUGUGUAAGCGCAGCGAUGCGUUGAGCUAACCGGUACUAAUGAACCGUGAGGCUUAACCUUACAACGCCGAAGGUGUUU
RNAcentral lists this ribosomal RNA (2933 nucleotides) under Escherichia coli. RNAcentral describes it as "23S ribosomal RNA". It matches the Rfam family "Bacterial large subunit ribosomal RNA". Lineage: Bacteria; Pseudomonadati; Pseudomonadota; Gammaproteobacteria; Enterobacterales; Enterobacteriaceae. The record is from RNAcentral. RNAcentral also lists the same sequence under 1 other name.